This 241-nucleotide ribosomal RNA is filed under the name uncultured bacterium. RNAcentral's name for it is "partial 16S ribosomal RNA". It matches the Rfam family "Bacterial small subunit ribosomal RNA", at positions 15 to 235 of the family's 1533-position model. The record is from RNAcentral.
GAUCAUGGCUCAGGAUGAACGCUGGCGGCGUGCUUAACACAUGCAAGUCGAACGAAGCACCCUAUUUGAUUUUCUUCGGAAAUGAAGAUUUUGUGACUGAGUGGCGGACGGGUGAGUAACGCGUGGGUAACCUGCCUCAUACAGGGGGGAUAACAGUUGGAAACGACUGCUAAUACCGCAUAAGCGCACAGGAUUGCAUGAUCCGGUGUGAAAAACUCCGGUGGUAUGGGAUGGACCCGCG